UCCGGUUGAUCCUGCCGGCGGCCACCGCUAUAGGAAUUCGAUUAAGACAUGCGAGUCGAGAGUCGUAAUGGACUCGGCGGACUACUCAGUAACACGUGGACAACGUGCCCUUAAGUGGGGGAUAAUCUCGGGAAAUUGAGGAUAAUACCCCAUAGAUCAUGGCAUCUGGAAUGAGCUAUGGUUCAAAGUUCCGGCGCUUAAGGAUCGGUCUGCGGCCUAUCAGGUAGUAGUGGGUGUAAAGUACCUACUAGCCUAUGACGGGUAUGGGCCUUGAGAGAGGGAGCCCAGAGUUGGAUUCUGAGACACGAAUCCAGGCCCUACGGGGCGCAGCAGCCGCGAAAACUUCACACUGGGGGCAACCCCGAUGAGGGAAUUCCUAGUGCUAGCUCUUUUUGAGUUAGCUUUUCUUUAGCGUAGAUAACUAAAGGAAUAAGGGCUGGGUAAGACGGGUGCCAGCCGCCGCGGUAAUACCUGCAGCCCAAGUGGUGGCCGAUAGUAUUGAGUCUAAAACGUUCGUAGCCGGUCUGAUAAAUCUUUGGGUAAAUCGGGAAGCUUAACUUUCCGACUUCCGAGGAGACUGUUAGACUUGGGACCGGGAGAGGCUAGAGGUACUUCUGGGGUAGGGGUAAAGUCCUGUAAUCCUAGAAGGACCACCGGUGGCGAAAGGCGUUUAGCUAGAACGGAUCCGACGGUGAGGGACGAAGCCCUGGGUCGCAAACGGGAUUAGAUACCCCGGUAGUCCAGGGUGUAACGCUGCAGACUUGGUGUUGGGAACCCUUUCGGGGGGUGCUCAGUGCCGGGAGAGAAGUUGUUAGUCUGCUACUUGGGGGGAGUACGUCCGCAGGAUGAAACUUAAAGAUUGGCGGGGG
RNAcentral lists this ribosomal RNA (869 nucleotides) under uncultured archaeon. Its description in RNAcentral is "bacterial SSU rRNA". It matches the Rfam family "Archaeal small subunit ribosomal RNA", at positions 1 to 874 of the family's 1478-position model. The record is from RNAcentral.